GAUGAAGAACGUAGCAAAAUGCGAUAAGUAAUGUGAAUUGCAGAAUUCAGUGAAUCAUCGAAUCUUUGAACGCACAUUGCGCCCGCCAGUAUUCUGGCGGGCAUGCCUGUUCGAGCGUCAUUUCAACCCUCAAGCACAGCUUGGUGUUGGGACUCGCGUUAAUUCGCGUUCCUCAAAUUGAUUGGCGGUCACGUCGAGCUUCCAUAGCGUAGUAGUAAAACCCUCGUUACUGGUAAUCGUCGCGGCCACGCAGUUAAACCCCAACUUCUGAAUGUUGACCUCGGAUCAGGUAGGAAUACCCGCUGAACUUAAGCAUAUCAAUAAGCGGAGGA
This 332-nucleotide unclassified non-coding RNA is filed under the name soil metagenome. RNAcentral's name for it is "partial contains 5.8S ribosomal RNA, internal transcribed spacer 2, and large subunit ribosomal RNA". The stretch from base 1 to 120 matches the Rfam family "5.8S ribosomal RNA", at positions 35 to 154 of the family's 154-position model. The record is from RNAcentral.